GAAAAGCAUUCAGAGUAGAAUGAAUCGUUAAGGAGACUAAUUAUAUCCAAACAAGUGGGGGUAGCAACCUGGGUAGGAGUUUCUGACUUCCUUGUGUAGGCUGAAGAAUUAGAUGGCGUGUAACUGGAAUCUAGGGGUCAUGGGCUGUAAAACUGGCCCACUCUGAGGGUAAUGACACAGCACCCAUAAAACAGGGCUCAGUGGUGAAGCUGGGACCACAGAAGAGCUGCCCAAUAGCCUUGGGACCGAAUCUCUACUGGGUGUGUUCUCUGGGCCCCUGAGAACGUGUUUCCAAAAAAUCACUUGAGAAGGGGCUCCUCAGCCAUUUGGGAGGACAUAAAUAUUUUCCAGUGGGCUCAGCGGAGCGGAGAAAAAGGUGGAGGUUAGCG
RNAcentral lists this long non-coding RNA (389 nucleotides) under Homo sapiens (human). Its description in RNAcentral is "non-protein coding lnc-ARHGEF40-2:1". Lineage: Eukaryota; Metazoa; Chordata; Mammalia; Primates; Hominidae. The record is from RNAcentral.